UACAGAGGGUGCAAGCGUUAAUCGGAAUUACUGGGCGUAAAGGGCGCGUAGGCGGAUUAAUAAGUUAGGUGUGAAAUCCCUGGCUUAACCUGGGAAUGGCAUUUAAUACUGUUAGUCUAGAGUAGAGUAGAGGGAAGUGAAUUUCCGGUGUAGCGGUGAAAUGCGUAGAGAUCGGAAAGAACACCAGUGGCGAAGGCGGCUUCCUGGACUCAUACUGACGCUGAGGCGCGAAAGCGUGGGGAGCGAAUGGG
This 251-nucleotide ribosomal RNA is filed under the name uncultured bacterium. RNAcentral describes it as "partial 16S ribosomal RNA". It matches the Rfam family "Bacterial small subunit ribosomal RNA", at positions 524 to 776 of the family's 1533-position model. The record is from RNAcentral.